RNAcentral lists this ribosomal RNA (1047 nucleotides) under human gut metagenome. RNAcentral's name for it is "bacterial SSU rRNA". It matches the Rfam family "Bacterial small subunit ribosomal RNA", at positions 8 to 1076 of the family's 1533-position model. The record is from RNAcentral.
AGAGUUUGAUUCUGGCUCAGAACGAACGCUGGCGGCGUGGAUAAGACAUGCAAGUCGAACGAGAGAAUUGCUAGCUUGCUAAUAAUUCUCUAGUGGCGCACGGGUGAGUAACACGUGAGUAACCUGCCCCCGAGAGCGGGAUAGCCCUGGGAAACUGGGAUUAAUACCGCAUAGUAUCGAAAGAUUAAAGCAGCAAUGCGCUUGGGGAUGGGCUCGCGGCCUAUUAGUUAGUUGGUGAGGUAACGGCUCACCAAGGCGAUGACGGGUAGCCGGUCUGAGAGGAUGUCCGGCCACACUGGAACUGAGACACGGUCCAGACACCUACGGGUGGCAGCAGUCGAGAAUCAUUCACAAUGGGGGAAACCCUGAUGGUGUGACGCCGCGUGGGGGAAUGAAGGUCUUCGGAUUGUAAACCCCUGUCAUGUGGGAGCAAAUUAAAAAGAUAGUACCACAAGAGGAAGAGACGGCUAACUCUGUGCCAGCAGCCGCGGUAAUACAGAGGUCUCAAGCGUUGUUCGGAAUCACUGGGCGUAAAGCGUGCGUAGGCUGUUUCGUAAGUCGUGUGUGAAAGGCGCGGGCUCAACCCGCGGACGGCACAUGAUACUGCGAGACUAGAGUAAUGGAGGGGGAACCGGAAUUCUCGGUGUAGCAGUGAAAUGCGUAGAUAUCGAGAGGAACACUCGUGGCGAAGGCGGGUUCCUGGACAUUAACUGACGCUGAGGCACGAAGGCCAGGGGAGCGAAAGGGAUUAGAUACCCCUGUAGUCCUGGCAGUAAACGGUGCACGCUUGGUGUGCGGGGAAUCGACCCCCUGCGUGCCGGAGCUAACGCGUUAAGCGUGCCGCCUGGGGAGUACGGUCGCAAGAUUAAAACUCAAAGAAAUUGACGGGGACCCGCACAAGCGGUGGAGUAUGUGGCUUAAUUCGAUGCAACGCGAAGAACCUUACCUGGGCUUGACAUGUAAUGAACAACAUGUGAAAGCAUGCGACUCUUCGGAGGCGUUACACAGGUGCUGCAUGGCCGUCGUCAGCUCGUGUCGUGAGAUGUU